AAUCAACGAUCCACACCGUUAAAUAUGAUCUAGGGUAUAUGAAUUUCUUAGGAAUAAAUUUUAGUUUUUUUCGAUAUCGUUUACUUAGUAAAUAAAUUAUAUCAAAAUGGACGGUUUGGGGAAAUUGAAUAAUCUUUAAAAUUUGAGUAUAGGACUUUUAAAUUCAAGAUCAAGAAUGUUAACCUUAAUCUAUAUAGUUUAAAGUAUUUUCUAUCAAAAUUUGAAGAAAUUUAGAUUCUUCUAUACCGUUAAACUCCAAACUCGUCAUAAUAGCUAUUGAAAAUUGACAAUUUUGAAAUAGUUGGAUCAUAAAGUAAACUAUGUCGAAAAAAUAUAAAAUUUUAUUUCUAGAAACUUUAAAUACCCUAGAUCAGUUUUAACGGUGUGGAUAGUUGAUUUGAACGCCCUAAGAUCGAAAACCAACACUAUAAUACCGGAGCUCGGUACUAUAGAUAGUAUAGUAGCCUAGCUCUAUAUAUAUAUAUAUAUAUAUACUUUGACUUU
This 504-nucleotide long non-coding RNA is filed under the name Ananas comosus (pineapple). RNAcentral's name for it is "long non-coding RNA (ACOM_LNC014358)". Lineage: Eukaryota; Viridiplantae; Streptophyta; Magnoliopsida; Poales; Bromeliaceae. The record is from RNAcentral.